GAACACAAUCUGGUCAUGUCAUUGAAAAGAUAAAACCGAGAUGCAGAAAGUCAUUGUCCUAAUGAUCACUUUUUAUUCCCCUUCGAGCAUUAAACCCCAAAGAGAAAGGGAUGGGAGACUUAAUCAUCGACUUGAUCACAGCCCCUGAAUUCUCCUUCCACAGGGGUAUAGGAGCUUUCUCUUACUCCUCCCUUCUUCCUCGACUGCCUGGAAUGAAAAAUUCACUGCUAUGUGGGGAUCCUGGGCUUGUUUUUCAAACUCUCUGAGAAUUGCUGCUGAGUCCUUUAUGAGGAAAGCCCAGCGGUGUCCUCUGUCCACAUUCUUUGCCCAAAGGAGAUGAGAACUUCAGUUUUCUCAGGGAGAGCCUAGGCUCAACACAGAAUCCUAGACUUAGAACUUAUCAUCAAGUUCAUUUCCUUCCCUGGGAAACAACAUAAAGUUACAAAAUUUUAAAAUUAGCCAACUAGAGGUUAAAAAGCAAAAAUCAAACAUCUAUUAUCAAUAUCGUUUCACAUGAAAGAUAUUUCAAUGACAACAAAAUAGAAAGGACACAAUCGCAGACUAAUUAUAGUUCUUUAGCUUGAAUAUAUGUAGUUUCAAGGAAAAGCCACACUUUCAUUCUUCUAUUUUUUUGUUGUUGCCAACCACAGGAAUGUGUCAUGACCUGCUGCAACCUUUGGGUGGCAAUUUGGGAACCUUCCAUUCAGUACAAACCCCUCUGAUGAUUAAAAUCUUUGACAUCAUUCCUACCCUAGAGUUACCGAGUUCUGUAAGAAAUAUUUACCUCCCUCUCCCAAUAAUAGAAUCAACCGUUUAUUCCUAUGUAUUUUCCUAUUGUGGGGGAGAGCUUUUAUUAUGCAACUGAUAGCAUUGCAUUUCAAAGGUCUGUCUUUUUUAGAAAGUCUUAGGAAAAACUGGGUGACUUCCUAAGUUUCCUAAGCUAAUAUUUUUUAUUUUGAGAACGUCAAGGAGAUGCCACCCAAACACUAGCAAGACAGGCUAAUGCGGAGAAUGACAGCUCAUUGGGAACAGAGCUGCUGGUGCCAGCAACUGUUAGGGACACUUAAAUGGUAACUGACCAAUUGCUGGAUGCUGAGUGUGGAAUAGUUGAGAGUUUAAAACUCCUGGGGGCCAAGACUUGGGGGUGAGUCCCCACACUUCUGUGAGUUUUAUCUGCAGGUGCUUGAGCAGGUUCUUAUGAUGGAGAUCAGAAAAACCCCCAAAGGACUGACACUAGCAACUUCCAGACCUGCUAGAAAGCUACAGUUAUCCAAACAGUGUGGAACUGGUGAAAACACAGAGAAUAGGUCAAUGGAACAAAAUCAGAAAUAGAUCUACAUAAAUGCAGUCAAUUAAUGUUUGCAAAGGAGCAAAAGCAAUUCAAUGGUGAAAGAAUAAUGAUAGUCUCUUCCACAAAUGAUGCUGGAGCAACUGGACACCUACAUUGAAAAAAAAAGAAUCCAGACAGAGACCUUCUUCCUUUCACAAGGUGGAUUAUAGUCCUAAACGUAAGGUGUAAAAACCACAAAAAUUAUAGAAGAUAACAUGGAAGGAUAUCUAGGUGACUUUGGGUUUGGUGAUGACUUUUUUGAUAUAAUACUAAAAGCACAAUCCAUUAAAGAAAAAAUUGAUAAGUUGGACUUCAUUAAAAUUAAAAACUUCUGCUCUGUGAAAGACACUGUUAAGCUAAUUAAAGGCAAGCCACAGACUGGGAGAAAAUCUUUGCAAAACACAUAUCUGAUGAAGGACUGGUAUCCUAAAUAUACAAAGAACUCUUAAAACUCAACAAUGAGACAGCUAACUUCCCAAUUAAAAAAUAGACAAAAGAUCUAAAAAGGCACUUCACCAAAAAAAGAAAUACAGAUGGCAAAGAAACCUCUGAAAGAUGCAUAAAAUCAUUUGUCAUUAGGGAACUGCAAAUUAAAACGACAGUGAGAUAUCUCUCUAUACCCAUUAGAAUGACUAAAUUCAAAGCACUGAUAACACCAAAUGUCGGCAAGGAUAUGGAUCAAUAGGACUCUCAUUCUUUAGUGAUGGGAACACAAAAAUGGCACAGCCACUUUAGAAGACAGUUUGGCAGUUUCUUACAAAACUAAACAUACUCUUACAUUUGAUCCAACAAUCACAGUCCUUGGUAUUUCCCAAAUGAGAUGAAAAGUUAUGUUCAUACAAAAAUCUGCAGAUGAGUGGGGCUG
Molecule: long non-coding RNA, 2195 nt
Filed under: Equus caballus (horse)
Lineage: Eukaryota; Metazoa; Chordata; Mammalia; Perissodactyla; Equidae
Description: lncRNA (ENSECAG00000047239.1)
Source: RNAcentral